Molecule: long non-coding RNA, 1559 nt
Organism: Cyprinus carpio (common carp)
Lineage: Eukaryota; Metazoa; Chordata; Actinopteri; Cypriniformes; Cyprinidae
Source: Ensembl
AUAGAUAAUGCCACAAUCAAAUUAUAAUUCUAGGUUUUUAUGAGAGUUUUUAUGAUAUGAUAUGAUAUAUGAUAUAUGAUAUAUGAUACGAUACGAUACGAUACGAUACGAUACGAUACAAUACGAUGGCAAGUGGUUAGUUAAUAAAGAAAAGUACUUACAUGGUGGAAGAAAAUAUUUAUUUUUUUCUCCAUAAGCUUAUCCUAAUUAUAUUUUGAAAUUGCAUUAAUAUUGAACGGCUGAUCUCAUUACUGAUAACAGCAAACCAAAUAAGCCCCCCAAGACGUUACAGUGAUUUUACCAAGGGGGUUAAUUGUUUUGUGUCAUAACUAUUAAUACACCUUUUUCGAAUUCAACAUCAUUUACAUAAUAUGUCUCUGUUUCAAAUUUCUAUUUUGAUUCUUAUUUUGAUUUAUUUCUUCAGUCAUUCAGAAGCGUAGCAUCUCUUGCUAGCAUUCACACCCUUUCCAACCCGAUCGGCUCCGCUGUGUUGACGUCUGUGUGCUCCUGGGCUCUGUAAUGCGCACUGCCCGGCUGCACAGGACAUCAGUCAAUGUUCUCAGGCAGAAGUGGCCCAGAGGGUGCCAGAGAGGAAGCCAAAAAUAGGCCUGCCCAUCUAUCUGUCUGCGGCCAUCGAUCCUUUCACCGGUUCAGCCUGGACUUAUGAGAACACUAGAAUCCAUCCACAAAACAAGAUGAGGAGAAAAGAAAGCUGUCUUUGUUUUGGUGGAGCAAUCAUGUGAAAGCAGGCCACAUGGAAAAAGGAGCAAAAAUAAUGACUCAUCUUUUACAUACUGUAGGGCUGUCUGUCUCCCUCUCUACACUUACGGCAUCCACACCUCUCCCCGUGUCAGCGUCGUACGCCUGCUCUUCUCAACAGCUUUGGUGAGGAGACUGUGUCAGGUCAAUUAACAGUGCUGCUCCGUACAUUUUCCACCUGACUCUUCCCAUUAGCACCACUGAGAUACACAACAGCAAAGAGCGUGCAACCACACCUUCAGUGUAAGCAUUUCUUCCCUGCUUUAACAGAAUUUUUCUCCUUUUUCUGUAAGUCAGGAUGCUGUUUUCUAAGCUUUUUUCCCCCUUUAUCUCUCUUCCUCAUUUGGUUUAAGUUGCGGUUGAGCAGCGGAAAGGCCACCUGCAUGACACGCCGCUGUUGUCAUAUUUUCUAAUUACAGAGCAACAGGAAACUAGAGUUUGUGUCGAUGUGAGGGCGUGUGUGCUAGUGGACAAUGUGACCGCACAGAGAGUCUGUUUAUGCCAUCUGUGGCCGAUUCCAAACAAAAUCCUCCUGCAGAAUGAACCAUCCCCAAUCCAUUGGAAGUGUGUGAUUUCAUACUAUCCCGUGAGCUCGGUAAGGCUACCAUGUGACCUAUUGUGACCAGUAAACAGAAAGCAAUGAUGCAUUUUAAACUCAGUGUUUACAGAUGGUUUGCUAUAACCAAGAGAUAUAUAUCACAAUUUGCAUACUAUACAGUACAUACUGUAUAUGAUAUGGACGCUUGUUUCCACAUGGAAUUAAAAAUAAAAAAGGUAAUUGUGACUUUUUAUCUCUUUUU